UGACCUCCGCGCUCCCGCUCUGAAAGGGCCUGAAUGGAGCCGUUUAUGGUGCAUUACCAGUCAAGGGCUCAGGGUCUCCCUCCCCUAGCGACCCGGAUUAUGGCCUCCCUCCCCUUGCAGGACACUCUCUCUCAUGGACUGAUGAAAAACAACUCAGAGAACAAAAUAUUAUCCGAACAGCCAAAGUUUGGACCCCAGAGGACCCCAGAAAACUCAACAGCAAAUCUUCCUUCAACAACAUAGAAAACGAACCUCCCUUUGAGUUUGUGUCCUGAGAAGUUCACGACCCGGCUGAGAAUCUGAUUACAUAUUGUACAUGUAAAUAUCUAUAAUGUAAAUGUAAUUUAAGAAUCAAGUUUUUGUAAUGGCAAUCAACUGUUUGUUAUUUAUCUAUUUAUUAUCCUGUUGAGUUAAUGAAAUAGAUGAUCUUUUUAAAAGUAUAUAAUUUAUCUAAUUUAUCUUGAUUUUCUAAAAAUAUGCAAUAGCCUAUGAUUCCCUCGGCACCUUUGGCAGAACUCUGCGUUGUUGAAAGAACUCUGGCCAGAAAACUUCUUGCUUAUUUAUUGCCAAAUAUGGUUUAUUUUUAAAGCGUUGUUAAUAAAUGCUAUUUACACUCUUUUCUA
Molecule: long non-coding RNA, 623 nt
Organism: Galeopterus variegatus (Sunda flying lemur)
Lineage: Eukaryota; Metazoa; Chordata; Mammalia; Dermoptera; Cynocephalidae
Exons: 2
Source: RefSeq, a predicted model, not a curated record